AGUUUACUGGAGCUGCUAUACAGGUGCUGCACGGCUGUCGUCAGCUCGUGUCGUGAGAUGUUGGGUUAAGUCCCGCAACGAGCGCAACCCACGUGUCUAGUUACUAACAGUUCGGCUGAGGACUCUAGACAGACUGCCUUCGUAAGGAGGAGGAAGGUGUGGACGACGUCAAGUCAUCAUGGCCCUUACGGCCAGGGCUACACACGUGCUACAAUGGGGUAUACAAAGAGCAGCGAUACCGCGAGGUGGAGCAAAUCUUAAAAAUAUCUCCCAGUUCGGAUAGUAGUCUGCAACUCGACUACUUGAAGUUGGAAUCGCUAGUAAUCGUAAAUCAGCAAUGUUACGGUGAAUACGUUCCCGGGUCUUGUACUCACCGCCCGUCACACCAUGGGAGUUGAAUUCAUUCGAAGCGGGGAUGCUAAAAUAGCUACCUUCCACAGUGGAUUUAGUAACUAGGGUGAAGUCGUAACAAGGUA
This 476-nucleotide ribosomal RNA is filed under the name uncultured bacterium. RNAcentral describes it as "bacterial SSU rRNA". It matches the Rfam family "Bacterial small subunit ribosomal RNA", at positions 1014 to 1498 of the family's 1533-position model. The record is from RNAcentral.